Molecule: non-coding RNA, 24 nt
Filed under: Arabidopsis thaliana (thale cress)
Lineage: Eukaryota; Viridiplantae; Streptophyta; Magnoliopsida; Brassicales; Brassicaceae
Source: RNAcentral
AGAAACCAACAUUAAGAGCAAAUA